Molecule: ribosomal RNA, 493 nt
Filed under: uncultured bacterium
Lineage: Bacteria
Description: partial 16S ribosomal RNA
Rfam family: Bacterial small subunit ribosomal RNA
Source: RNAcentral
AUUGAACGCUGGCGGCAUGCUUUACACAUGCAAGUCGAACGGUAACAGGUUAAGCUGACGAGUGGCGAACGGGUGAGUAAUGCAUCGGAACGUGCCCGAUCGUGGGGGAUAACGCAGCGAAAGCUGCGCUAAUACCGCAUACGAUCUAAGGAUGAAAGCGGGGGACCGUAAGGCCUCGCGCGAUCGGAGCGGCCGAUGUCAGAUUAGGUAGUUGGUGGGGUAAAGGCUCACCAAGCCAACGAUCUGUAGCUGGUCUGAGAGGACGACCAGCCACACUGGGACUGAGACACGGCCCAGACUCCCACGGGAGGAAGCAGUGGGGAAUUUUGGACAAUGGGCGAAAGCCUGAUCCAGCAAUGCCGCGUGCAGGAAGAAGGCCUUCGGGUUGUAAACUGCUUUUGUACGGAGCGAAAAGGUCUCCUCUAAUACAGGGGGCUCAUGACGGUACCGUAAGAAUAAGCACCGGCUAACUACGUGCCAGCCGCCGCUGUAA